This 408-nucleotide ribosomal RNA is filed under the name uncultured bacterium. RNAcentral describes it as "partial 16S ribosomal RNA". It matches the Rfam family "Bacterial small subunit ribosomal RNA", at positions 28 to 526 of the family's 1533-position model. The record is from RNAcentral.
GACGAACGCUUGCGGCGUGCUUAACACAUGCAAGUCGAACGAAGUGGCGAACGGGUGAGUAAUACGUGAGUAACCUGCCCUCCUUUUUGGGAUAAGCCUUGGAAACUGGGUCUAAUACCGAAUAAAGGGGGAUGGGCUCGCGGCCUAUCCGCUUGUUGUUGGGGUGAUGGCCUACCAAGGCGGUGCCGGGUAGCCGGCCUGAGAGGGUGACCGGCCACAGUGGGACGGAGUUACGGCCCAGACUCCUACGGGAGGCAGCAGUGGGGGAUAUGGCACAAUUGGCGAAAGCCUGAUGCAGCGACGCCGCGUGGGGGAUGAAGGCUUUCGGGUUGUAAACCUCUUUCGAUAUCGAACGUGUAGGUGGAGAAGAAGCGCCGGCUAACUACGUGCCAGCAGCCGCGGUAAUUC